AGUGAACGCUGGCGGUAGGCCUAACACAUGCAAGUCGAACGGCAGCACAGUAAGAGCUUGCUCUUACGGGUGGCGAGUGGCGGACGGGUGAGGAAUACAUCGGAAUCUACUUUUUCGUGGGGGAUAACGUAGGGAAACUUACGCUACUACCGCAUACGACCUACGGGUGAAAGCAGGGGAUCUUCGGACCUUGCGCGAUUGAAUGAGCCGAUGUCGGAUUAGCUAGUUGGCGGGGUAAAGGCCCACCAAGGCGACGAUCCGUAGCUGGUCUGAGAGGAUGAUCAGCCACACUGGAACUGAGACACGGUCCAGACUCCUACGGGAGGCAGCAGUGGGGAAUAUUGGACAAUGGGCGCAAGCCUGAUCCAGCCAUACCGAGUGGGUGAAGAAGGCCUUCGGGUUGUAAAGCCCUUUUGUUGGGAAAGAAAAGCAGCAGGUUAAUACCCCGCUGUUCUGACGGUACCCAAAGAAUAAGCACCGGCUAACUUCGUG
Molecule: ribosomal RNA, 492 nt
Filed under: uncultured bacterium
Lineage: Bacteria
Description: partial 16S ribosomal RNA
Rfam family: Bacterial small subunit ribosomal RNA
Source: RNAcentral